RNAcentral lists this unclassified non-coding RNA (218 nucleotides) under Hevea brasiliensis (rubber tree). The record is from RNAcentral. Lineage: Eukaryota; Viridiplantae; Streptophyta; Magnoliopsida; Malpighiales; Euphorbiaceae.
AGACUCAUUAUCUGCUACCAUUGACUUCUCUAAUUUAUCCUUGGCCAGAUCGAUUAGAUGAUCACAUUCCUUAUCAGACAAAAAUCCCUUAUACAAAAAUGCCCUGGGUUGCCAGGAGAGCUGAGUGACUCGUGUUGGAUCGAAAAUGAGCGGAGAUGAAUCCGUCUUCAAUCGAAGCACAGAUCCAGUUAAUUUCUUGUGCAUACGCGUUUCCGGCA